RNAcentral lists this long non-coding RNA (19193 nucleotides) under Lynx pardinus (Iberian lynx). Lineage: Eukaryota; Metazoa; Chordata; Mammalia; Carnivora; Felidae. The record is from RNAcentral.
AUCCUUUGGAGCCAAGGACUGAACUGCCAUGCAAGACCUCUGCCAACUGAGGGUUUCAUGAGCGCACUCCCUUGCCAAGAUCUUGGUGAAUAGUCUUUCACUGUGCAAUUGUGUCUCAGACAUUGUUUUACUUGUUAUCAUGAUUGUGCUUGGCUGGAUGCUUUUUGUUGGACUUGCAUGUUACAUGGGCACAUUUCCAGAGUUCACGGUAAGUAAUGACCCUGCCUGUGAAUCCCUGGUAGUAGUCAGUCCUGGCUCUGACUCCACCUCCCAGCCAGGGUUUCUGACCAAAUGGGAAAGACAGUUGAGGCCUCAUCACUAAUUAGAGGUCAGGGUGCAGUGGGAACAAAGUUGGCUUCCCAGGCUACUUCUCAACUCACUGGGAUUAUCUUUAAGUUCCACCCACCCCUUGGGUACAUAACAUUACUUAUUUUAAAUUUAUAAGGGGUUUGCUGGAGAAAGUGGAUUUCAGGCAAAGUGGAUCAAUGGUCGCCGGCUAGAAAGGGAAGGUGGGCAUUGGUGGGACCUCCAACAGUCACGGUCACAGACAGAGGCAAUUACCUGCUAGGCCAACAAGUAGAACCGCUUCUGCCUUUAAAUUUCUUUCUGACUCAGCCUCCAACUCUGAAGUGGAAAGAGAAGUGGCCUGUUCAGGAGAGCAAGACACGACUGAGGAGCCUGGCUUUGGAUGAAGAACCACAACUAUGAGUGAGUGGUCAGGUCUGCUGGACUCAAUUCCUCCCUUUCCAGAGAACAUGGCAACCCCUUGAAAUCUCAGUAGGAAGUUUAUAUUCCCCUGGGAAACAAUAAACUGUAGAAAGGGAAGUGGGUUGAGAUAUGUGGUGGGGAAAGAGAAUUCAGUGAGCACUGCUUUGGACAGCAGGCCAAGGCUCAAAGAUUUGUUAAGCACAUCUUAACUGGUAUUCUUCCCAAAGACUAUUCCUGUCUAUUAACUUGUUUUCUCACAAACUCUGUAGUAAGUCGGACCAGCGUUUUUAGCGCCCCUUUUGGCAGAUCCCAAGACAGGUUCAAGUUCUAACUUUGCAACUCACUAGCUACGUGACCUUGGGAAAGUUUAAUCUCUCUAAACCUCAGUUUCUUCAUCUGUAUAACGGAGAUAUCUGUGUAUCUUACUGUUUUUGUGAGGCUUGCAUCUGGGAAUUCAUGUAAAGCAUUUGAUGCAAAGCAUUUACUAAAUGCCAACUUAACAACCAAGCAAAAUAAUGAACGGGUCCACAAAGAUUUAGUGGUGACAGUAACCUCAACUAUUUACCCAAGGCCAUACAAAUCAAUUCCUUUGAGAAGCUGGGAUGCGAGCAUAGUUCUCUGGACUUAACAGCCUCUUGCACUCGUUCCACUAGACCAGCCUGCCUUUAGGAGACAGGAAUAGCAGUAUCCUUUUCACAACCGUCUCCUGGCUUUCUUCCCUCCCACUCCCUUUCACUCAGAUCUGGUUUUUCAAAGGUGUUCCCACUGUUAAAGAAACUUUACUCUGAGAGUCUUAGUAAUGAACUGAUAACAGGAGCAGAUUUUCUGGGAAGCUACUCUGGAAAGCAGUGGUAUCAAGUCCUAACCCCAGGUACACUGAGAGCAGGGCAUGAGGGUUUGUUUGUUUGUUUGUUUUUUUCCAUCGGCCCCAGUAUUUCCAUGCAAGUGUUGACCCAGCUCGGUCAGAUCAUUGUUGGGGUGGGGACGUAGAUGGAGGCCCUGGGCACUUGCUUAGCUGAGGCACUGCCACCCUGAUCCUGACCAAGCCACUGGAAAUGUUCUGUGCCUCAGGUUCUCCAGCUUUGAAAUGAGCAGGACAGCCUAAUGCCCUCUCUUCCCUUUCCAGGGAAGGGAACCCUACACGAUGAGGGUUUAAUUGUGACAUUUCGCGAAAUGUGAGAUGUUCAUUUGUUUGGUUUUUUGCGAAUAGCCUAACGAUAGUCUAUAAAGUAAUUGCUCAUAGCAUACCUAGCCAAUCCUCCCAAUUAAUCCAGGGUAUUUUUUGUUUUGUUUUGUUUGCAUGGCACUGCUUUUUGCAUCUGAUUGCAUGAAAGCAACAGUUAAUAUUUUGACAGGUGAUGAGUUAAUAAAGUUCUGAUGCCAGCUAGAUCCUGACCGUGUAGAGUCACCAGAGAACAGGGCCCUUCUUUUAAGGGUUCUUUGGCCCCAACACACCAGGCACCCUGGCCAGUUGUCCCAUAGUUACUCGAUCUGAUGGGUCCCUCCAAGGUCACAGGAGCUGAUGUCACAAUUGGUGUCUGAGCUCUGCCCCCUAAAAUGGCCAUGGCCAGCCAUUUCAGUUCACACUAGACCACGAAGCCCCUCAGCCAGGAGCUAUCAUGCUGGGCGAUCCGCCAUCCGGUCUGGAAUGAAGACAGCCCAGCUCCCAGGACUCAAGGAAUAGAGCGCCACACCUUUCAGAACCACCUGUUUUCCCCAGCACAUCCCACCAGUGAGCAAGAAGCCCCACAAUGAUUGUUGUUUUAUGGUUGCUUCUCAUUGCAGGAACCAUGUGGAAAGGAUAUAAGUAUCCCCCAGGAGGGGUAAGUGUGCUUUCAACUUUGUUCUCUGUUCCUCCUUUGAAAUUUAUUCCCCCAGAUCCAUGAGCUGAGCAUCAAAAUCCAACUUUAGAAACAAAUCGUCUUUUCUUGAUUAAGAAAGUGGUGGUAGCUUACCUGCCUCUAUUGUUGCUCGCUGAGAGUUCCCUCUUUCACGUCUUUCUUUUAUACAUAUUUUCCUAAGAGUCUUUACUCUUACAUUUUUCAGUUUUAUAUAACCUGGAGGUAGAGAGGUAAAGACUCAGGCAAUGCUGUCUGACAUGGGUGACCUAGUCUUGUGCUCAGGGGCCAUUUUCAGUGCUGGGGUCUUCAGUCCCAUUUCUUAAAUCAGCCCAGACCAGCAACCCACCCUUAACUCUCCCUCAUCAAGUAAAGGGUGGUCUAUAAAAUGGUUCUGGUGCUAGAAAUCUUCUCUCUUCCUGUUAGACCUUGGAUAUGUGUCCUUUCUCUGCCUCUUGUCCGCUCCCACAUGGCUAAGCCCCUCUGGCAGUGGAGGUCAGAGACAUUAAGAGACAGAAUUGGACAGAACCACUUCUGCCUGUCUUUGGCAAGGAAGGCAAUUACCUCAGCCGCACACUCUGGCAGACACUAGAGAAGGCCCACCUGACAUACUUUUGUCCCCCCAGACCCCGGUGGAAGUAAGCAAAGAUGAUCCUGGUGAAGUCAUGCAGCUCUGAAGCUCACCUGGCCUGCUGUAGAGUUCCUGUUGUUGGUUUCGCAUAAAGUAAUUGCACAUUAUUUUGUCACAUUUUAUGUAAAAAGUUACCGUACUUUUUAAGAUGAAGAGCUGAUAUUCUGUUAGCUCAAAACAGGGAGAUGGGGGAGGGUAGUUGGGUUAGACGAACGUGAUUGGGUGCCUCUGUUUCAGUCUCUAAGACUAAAGUCUUAGACUAAAAUACCUAGUUCAAUUUGCCCCCUAUUCUGAAUCCUUAGGGAUAGAAAUUCUCUAAAGCUCCUUUGACCUAGUUCCCGGGUGUAGUCUUCCUCCUGCAUCCAGGGUCCAGGGUCAAAAAAACGUUCAGAAAAUGCUAGAGAUUGCAGCAACUUUAAGCCUAUCUUUUGGGGAUACUCUUCUGUGGCCUUUUCACAGCUGUUACCAACAACCUUCUGUGGCCUUUUCUCAGCUGUUACCAACAACCUUCUGUGGCCUUUUCACAGCUGUUAUCAAGAACCGAAGGCUUACACUGUGUGGGGGAAGGGAUGUCAUUUUAAUAUGAGGUGCUAGAUACUAAAUUAAACAUUACUUUAAUUCUUAUAAGCUUCUGAGCUGGGCACUAGCCUCAUUGAACAAAAGGUUACAAAUGAAGUUGAGAGACUCAAGUAUCUUACCAGCUGCACAGCUCUGGGUUGGAGUUAAGAUCAAGAUCCAGGCCUUCUCCUUGGCAUACUUUUAUGUGCCAAGGAAAAGAGCCAAACAAGAGACUGGAAUAUCCAAGAUCUUGGCUAUCUCUUGGCUCAAGUGCCCCCUUCAUUUGAAUAGCCAAGAAGGUGCCUGAUGAUUCUUUUAGCAGUAACCACUGCUAAUACAGGGCAGCAUGCAUACAUAGAAACAAAAGCUAAGUGCUCAGUCCUCAAUAUGAUGCAGUUUGAGUUUGAGACCAAGUAUGGAAACUUAAGACCCAUGCAAUUAAUCUAGGUGUUUCAGCCCUAGGAUAUUCCUCAUAAGCCCUCUCUAGGGGUGGUUUGGAAUUUUCUGACCUUAACGGGGUUGGGGGGGGGGAGGGGGAAGAAUCCAACAAGAACAAGUACUUCUAAAAUAAACUGUAUGGAAACUUUCCCAUUCUGUGGCUACUUGGGGAUGACUGAUAGUUCCAUCAUUCAGAAGUGCAUCCUUACCACCAAAGUAGAUCUUUUUGGUUAUGUAGAUAACAUUUUGUUGAGGACUAUUUAGCACACAUUUGCUAAACUAUUUUUAAGUGGCCCUUUGCACUGAAUGAAUUGCCUUUUUUUUUUUUUUUUAUGGAAAGAAAAGUGAAUUCAAAAUCCAUUAGCAACACUGGAAUCCUGAAUCCAGGAUACUAUCUCUUAUAAGGCUUCUUAUAUGACCUAGACUCAACACAUCCCAUUGAGCUAAGUGCCUACAUUUUCUGGCUCCGUGGCUAUACCAACUUGCCUCCUGAAUAUCCCAAAGGACUCAUCUUGUCAGUUGUUUCAAGCUCUUUUAUUACAGGGGAUCAGAACCUUUGCUUGUUUUCUUGACAAGAGGAACUAUACACCCAGUUCUUCUUCCCUCUGGUUCCCUGAAUAUACCUCCAAACAGUUCUCCGGCCUUCAGAGUAGCUCUCUUUUUUUUAAAAAAAUUUUUUUUUUUUCAACGUUUAUUUAUUUUUGGGACAGAGAGAGACAGAGCAUGAACGGGGGAGGGGCAGAGAGAGAGGGAGACACAGAGUCGGAAACAGGCUCCAGGCUCUGAGCCAUCAGCCCAGAGCCCGACGCGGGGCUCGAACUCACGGACCGCGAGAUCGUGACCUGGCUGAAGUCGGACGCUUAACCGACUGCGCCACCCAGGCGCCCCCAGAGUAGCUCUCUUAAGCUGGUGGGGUGAGGGGAGAUGGGUCAGUUGUGGGGGUUGAGCAGAGGUCAGUACGUCAGAGGGAAUGAACAGGUGUGUGUGUGUGUGUGUGUGUGUGUGUGUAAGGAAGCACACCCCAUGUCAAGUCUGAUGAGUCUACUGGGGUUUCUAGCUGGAAAAAUGUUCAGGGUGAUGAAAGAAGGAAUAUCUGAGUUUUGGUAAAUAAAUGCAAACCAGUGAAAAUAUCAAUAAAAUAUUUUUAAUGCCUACAAUUUCUUUUAUACAUAAAUUGCAAAACUUUCACCUGUAUAUGCAAAAGUAGAUUCUCUUGCAGGUCAACAGCACCAGAAAACAAGCUAAACUAUGUAAAUGUUUUUUUUUUUUUUAAAACUUGAUUUGUCCAUUAUGUAAAAGACAUGAUGGAUUUAAUAACUUCAAAGAAAUCUAUAUCCCACUCUUAAUCAUACACUAAACACCUGAAUAUUUAUUUUAUCACAUCCACUCACAAAAUAAAUAGUAGUCUAAUAUAUUCAGCACAUUGAAAAUAAACCAACCAGUUUCUCUUCAUAUAUUUAUUCUCUUUCCAAACAUGUUUUGGUCUCCUGCUAUAUCUCAGAAAUGUACUAAUAGCUGCUUUUAAGUUACAAAAUACAAAACAGUAAUUUCUUGGAGAAAAUCUUGGGGUAACAUUAAAAAAAUGAUAUUUCGAGUUCCUAUAGACUUUCUUUUUUGUUAACAGUCUUUGAACCUUCUCAUGGCACACAUGUAAGGCUGUCUGUGACAUGUGGUACCCUGGCCUCCAAAUGGACGUAAUUGCAUUUAUAGUUUAGAGAAAAUACAAAGACAAGUUUUUGAAAGUAGCCUUAAAAGAAGAGUGCCCCUUGCUUUGACAUAGCAAUAUCAAAAGCAAGUGGGACUGUGCAAUCAGAGCCAUAUGAGUUUUAUGAAAACUACUUUCUUUUCACAUCAUCUGUUAGAGAAUGCCACACCCAUGAUCAUGUAACAUUACAAUCGUGAAAUAACAUUACUACAUUCGUGAAUUAACAUUACCCAAUAAAAGGCACAUCUUCAGAUAUUGAAUUAAUAAAAUCUGAAAAUCAAAACAGUAGAGGAUACAUUAAAAACCAAGCACUUAAUUUGUAAACCUUUAUAAAAUAACAGCUUAUUCCAGUUUCUUCAAAGGUUUGUGAGCUUUUUGUAAGAGCCGUCAGGAAUUGCAGAACAAAACGGAAGACAGGAUUUGGAAACAAGGCCAAGAUUAAUUUAAAAGACUUUCUCAGGACUUUCUUUUUAAAUGAGCUACAGAAGUGCCCUUUUAUAAUGUUGAUGCCGAGGAAUAAUAUAAUCAACAUCUGUAGAAGAAAUACACUCAAAAGUGGUAGAUGCCUAAGGACACGACCUGACUCUUCCUAUGAAGUUCUAGAACUUUUAUCUAGCACAGUGGUGCCUUUCUGUACAAAUAACUGCACGUCGAGUAAAGUGCUAGUAAACAUUAAGCCACCAGAAAUCUUUCAGCUAUGAUAAGCACUUGAUUGUAAUAGAUUUUCAAAGAGUCUAAAUACUGAAAAAAUAUAGCCCAGAAAACAACUUUUGUAGGGGUGGGGCGGGAGGAAGCACAAAAGUGACAGCAAAGGAAAUAAUGUUCCAAACCUGUUUUAUUACGUGGAACACCACACUACCCUUAAAUCAAUUUCACUGAAGAUAUUUUGAGAUGGGUGAGAGGCAGUCAACAGGAUUUUCUGCCAGUGUGACAAUUCUAUGUAGAUCAUUAGAGUGUUACUCCUGGUGAUGAAGACCUCUUUCAGAGGAUCCAGCUUCAAAGUUAAAUGCUUGCACUUUCGAAAUGUGAAACUCAAUUCGAAAUGAGUCAGAGUCUUAAGGGACUAGGUCAAAUGGUUGUCCCAUCAAGGGAGGUAACAACAGUAAUGUAUACCACCCAAACUUGGAGAAUAAAGAAAGCUUUAUGGAUAAAAAGGAAUACACCAAAACAACUUUUGGAACUGUUCUUCAAGCUUAUGUCCCACUGUCCCCAACCCUCCACAUUUAGAAUUAAGGACAAAAGCUCUCUAGCGUCAUCAUAUCUCAUUUUCUGUUGCUGACUUUUCCUUGAGACUUGGCUUCUCUCCAGCCAGAACCUAGGUCAGCCUGAUUGGAAUUGCCUGGGUUUGAGGCUUAAGAGAUCUCAAGUGUAAAAAUAGGACUUGGAAAAAAGUGAGAAUGAAGAAAGUUCCACAGCCCGGUAAAGCACCAGUAGCAGGGAACGUCCUUUUCUACCUGGGAAAAAAAUCUCUUCACAGUGCAUAGUUUGAAAUAAAAGUGCAAUAUGGGCAAAAAGAGAAGGUGGUGCUCUCAAUACACGUGAAUUUAGUUUUUGGCUUUUGGCAUUAAUUGCUAAAGAAUUUAAGAUAAAAUGCAGUCGUUAACAUCAAGAGGUACAGGGGCACCUUUUUCCAAAAUAUCUUUAUAGAGAGGGAGGAGGGGAGUCUCACAUGUCACUUCCUUAUUUUUUAAACUAUUACUCUUCCAAAUCUAAUGUUUGAAUAAAAUAAGCAUUUUUCUUCAGUAUAAAAAUGACUUUUCUUAGAUAAAAAUCAAUCAGCACAGUGACCUUGUGUAUUUUACGCUAAAGCCAAUGUAACAGUAAAUUUGAAAGGAAAACCUGGAAACAUUAUUUUUAAACUAAAUGGCAUAACUUGUAUUUUAACUGGAAAAAAAAAAUUUGUUAAUUGCCUUACCACCUAAAUUAGUGAAUAAGAAUGCUCGGCAUCCAAUCCGUGAAUAAUGUAAAAUACGAUAUAAUUUAUUCUACUUUUUACUUCAAAGUCACAGAGAUGACAUCCAUACGAUAAUUAUAGAGCCUACUCUACAUUUUCAAGUUCUCAAUCCAAACAUAUACAUUAGGACAGGUCACUUUAUUGCUGGCAACAUUCACGGAAGGGCCAGGUUCCUCAUUAAAAGACAAAGUUUGAUUGGGAGCUGGGCAGUGCUCUACUCACACAUCAGCAGAACAUGAAGAGGCAAUCCUUUUUUUUUUUUUUUCCUUUUCAAAAUAGCAAAGGAACAAUGUAAGAUUGGCUGACAGUGAGCAGCCCCCGUUAGAGUGCAUAGCUCAUCAGGAUCAAGGCGGGCACCUGUGAACAGUUAACUUCAUAAGCACGCUCACUGGGCAUUCUAUCAUCUGCAUUAGAUUUAACCCUGGAAAGUAUCUGAAAAUACUUUAUGCUCCAAUGACAGCCUGCAAAUAACAGUAUGCGUUCCUUCUCCUUGAGUACCCAAGUAUAAAUUAAAAUCAUAAAGGGGCUUCUUCAUUCUGAAGGCAGGACCUCCUGGCAGCAGAGUGUCUCCAGAACUUCACAAAAAUAAUAAAAGCAGCAGCUAACGCUUCUUCAGCUUCUUAGCCUUUCGACGCUUCAUUUCUUCUUCUUCACGUCUCAUUUCCUCUAAGUCCUCCUGCAUACCUAGUCUUAAACUGUCACGCACAAAAAAAGAAAAAAAGUACUUGUCAAUAUACAUGACAUUACCACACUCUUUAAAAAUUAAGAAUGAAAUUUCAACUGGGAGCUCAUAUGGAAUGUGCUGAGGCAUUAAAAACGCCUCAAGGCUUUACCACUGAAAACAAACUAGCAGGAAUAUUUUUUACUAGGAGCCUCGGCCACUGAUUCAACUUCUAGUAGAAAAAAGACCUCACAUAAAACCUCAACAUAAAAUACCUUAACAUUCCCAUUAAAGUAAUAAAAUGUAAAUUAUCACAAUGGCUUUUAGAAAUAAAAGAAAAUUUAUUCAAUAAAUAACAUUCUAUUCUUAUCCCUUCGCAUCACCUUAGUUGGAUAUUUUAUGUAGUUACAUGAAGGGAAGGCAAGAGGCAAGAGGUUUAAUAUUCUGGGUUGAGACUGAGGGGAAUUAUCUUACCAAGUUAACACUAUAAACAAAGCAAUCUCUUGUUACCCUACCCUAAGAACUUAUCAUGAAUUUUAUUAUCAGGUAGCCAAAUAGGAUUUAGACAAAGAAUUUCAUAUUCCUCAUCAGGUCCCUAUGGCCAGCAGUGGUACAGGUCAGCAAGACUGAGAUAUGUUUGAUGUAGAAAGGGAAUUAAAGACGGGGAAAGAAAAACAAGGAACUUGUUACAAUGGGAUCAGAGGAGGCCUCCAGCACUGACUGUGUGCCUAUAUAGGUGAGGCACCGCACUAAGCAACUUGUAUACUUAAUGUGAUACCUCAAUGGGUAAAAAGAGUAAAUUCUCAUUUUACCCAUGAGAAGACAGAUUGAAAAAAAAUUUUUUUUAAGUUUAUUUUUGAGAGAGAGAGAGCAGGGGAGGGAGAGGCAGAGAAAGAGGAGAGAGAGAAUCCCAGGCAGGCUCCACAAUGCCAGCACAGAGCUUCACGCAGGCCUUGAACCCAUGAACCGUGAGACUAUGACCUGAGCUGAAAUCAAGAGUCGGAUAUUUAACAGACUGAGCCACCCAGGUGCCCCAAGAAGACAGAUUUAGAAAGGCUAAGGAAUUUGUCUAAAGUCCCACAGCAAGUAACCAGGAUGGGAAUUCAGAAGCGAGGGGCCCCAAACCUCUGCUCCCAAUGGUGUAACUGAAGCGGCAAACAGAAAGGAACGAUUAGGACAUUUCUGCACAAAUGUGUUCAGUUUUGUGCUUACCUCUUUGCUUCUUCCUUCUGCUGCUCUUUCCAACUACUCUCCAUGUAACGUAAGGCAUAAUCACUUUCAUCUUUGUAUCUGAUAAGAGGAAAUCAAUGUUGUUAGGGAAAACACCCAAAUUCCCAAAUAUUUAGGAACUGCAUCCUCCUGUUUUAAAAAUCAGUAUCUUUAUAACUAAUAAAAAACACAGGAUUACUCUUCUUUCUUUGGCAAGGAGUGACAGAGGCAGAGGACAGGUAGCAGUGGGUUUCUGAAGUCAAGGCAAAUUAAAUGAGCCCUCACUACUCCCUGAAGGCAAUUAUUCCUGAAUCUAAUGUCAAUGAAGGUACUCAAUCCAACAAUGCUUACUCACCUCACUCGCCUCUAGUUACAGAAUAGUUUAUAUUAAAAUCCUGAAAGCACACUAUAUAUGGAAAUCAUUUUGUACAUAUUAAUCUCAUUUGAGCUUUGUGAGAAAGGACUUUAGAACACAGGCUGAAGCAGGCAGAUUAAUGGUUUGACCAAGAACAUACAACUAGCCAAUGACAUUACUAAUAUUAGGUUUUUAUUAAAAAAAUUUUUUUUAAUGUUUAUUUACUUUUGAGACAGACAGUGAGAGGGGGAAGGGCAAAGACAGAGGGAGACACAGAAUCUGAAGGAGGCUCCAGGCUUUAAGCUGUCAGCACAGAGCCCGAUGCGGAGCCUGAACUCACAGACUGGGAGAUCAUGACCUGAGCCAAAGUCAGACACUUAACCAACUGAGCCACCCAGGUGCCCCAUUAAUAUUAGAUUUUUAAAUCUGAUUUUUAUUCCAAUUCUUUUUACUACUCUUUUUACCAAAUUUUUUUUUUUAAACACUUUUUCUCAGGAUUGCCUUCUAAUUUCUCAUAUCCAUGGCUUUAAAGGAGAGGGCAACUGUCAACCGAUAUGCACUAUGUCCCUUCUGUUUUACAUAUAAAACAUAUGUCCCUUCUGUUUUAUCUCAUUUAAUCCUUCCAGAUGUCAUUCUGAAAAUAAUUUACUCAAGUUUAUCCAGCUAGGAAGUGGUAGAACUUCUAUUCAAACCCUGAUCUUUCACCUAUACUAGUGUUCUCAAACUUUAAUGUGCAUUUGAAUUACCUGGGAACCGUAUAAAGCUGAUUUAGAUUUGGCAGCUCUGAAGUAGGGCCUGAGAGCCUGCAUUUCUUAACGCUGUUGUCAGGUGAUGUCAGUGAUGUUGGUCCCAUACUGACUGCUGUCCAGGGACCACACUUUUGAGCACUAAAGCUUUUUACAUCAAAGAAAAGCAGAUGUCAGAUCAGACCAGCUUUCAACACAGGUCUGUGAUGUCAGAUCAGACUAGCUUUCAACAUGGGUCUGUGGAUGGCUUUCUGAGUUCAAAGCCAAUCUAGUUCUAUUCCAGUAAGCUGCUUCACUCUCAUUAAAUAUACAUCUUACAAGGGCAACAGUUUAAAAAGGUAUUUUUUGGCAUGCAACCACACAAAAAAUUCUGAGUUAACCGUUAGGUGGUGCCAAAAGAGUAAAUCUUAAACAAUCAUCCAAUGGUUCCUAAUUAAGAAUUUUAUUCAAUGCCUCUGCUAUUAAUGUUUGCUUUUCCCCCAUAGCACGAGUCAUUCAAAAUAAGUAUAUCAUUUAUCUAAACCACCUAUAGCCUUACUUUUUUCGGUCAUAGCCAAAGAUUUCUCGAAUGUGCUUGGAUAUUUCUUCCUGAGGUUCUCCUUCAUCUUCGAUAAAAUCUUCCAUUUCAGAGUCAUAUUCAUCAUCAUCUUCCUCCUCUUCAUAUUCUCGUUGCCUUUUGUAACCACUAGGGAAGGGAAGCCUUUGAGGACCUAAGAAUAGAAAAGUCAUUAUUUAUAGGAGCAUUAAAACUGAAAAUAGUCCCAACAAAGUUUUACAUAAACUGAGAUUUUAAGAAUUCAUUAAGACAGUAUUCUCAAAAACCAGAGCCAGCAAACUGGCCCAUAGCAUGGACUCAUUACGAAAUCACCCCUGCUGCUUCAUGUUGUCUACAAGGAGUAGAAUUUCUGUUUAUCCCAGGGCUUACCAGAAGCAUCUGUCACAUCUUGUAGCCUAACAGCUGCCUUCCUUCUGGAUUUAAAAGACUGAUAAAAAGAAAAUUACAAAUAGCUUACAGGAUCUCUAACUUUUAAUUCUGCCAUGAAAAAGACACCAAAAGUAACAACCUACCAUCUAUUAUCACAAUUUCAUUCCUUUUUUUUUUUAGAAGUCCAACAAAGUAUGAAAGAUUCCCAGAAUUAUGGAUAAUUAUUGAAAUGAGUAAGUCUGACUUUAAAAGAAAAUCACUACAUUAUCAUUAUUUUGUCAUUUUGCCAAAAGGCUGAAUAAAACUUUGCAAAAGACAGGCAAUGAUCAAUAGAACAGCAUCUGGGAACAACUGCUUUCUAGUCCUUGAUUACAGACACUCCUUUUAUUGAUCUACAGUUGUUUUUAAUACGCAUGGCUUGUCUCCUUAGCUCGGCUCAACUUCUGCACUGUUGACAUUUUGGGCCAGAUAAUUCUUUGUGAGCAGACUCUCCUGUGUCCUAUAGUAUAAUAGCAGCAUCCCUGGCCUCCAUCUACUAGAUACCAGUAGCAUCCCCUGGGCCCAGUGGUGUCAGUCAAAAAUGUCUCCAGACACUGCCAAAUGUUCACUGGGCAUCAAAAUCAUCCUUGGUUGAGAACCAAUGUUCUAGCUGAACUAAGAAGUUAAAGCAUGGAAUCUUACCUAAGUAGAUUCAUAAAGGACCAGUAGCUAGGGCCUUGAUGUGCUGCCCACUACAAGGAGCAGAAACACAAGGGCAGUUCCUGGUACAUUGUGGAUACUUAAAAAGUAUCUGAUGAAUAAAUAAUGCACCAAAGGCUUCAAGUUUACAAAUAUACUCCAACUUUUGAAGAAAGGUCUCUCUAGUUCUCAUGAGAAGGUAAAGAUGAAUUAAUUCAUUGAACCAUAUAAGGCAUAUUCACUCAUCCUGUCUCACAAAUCACAUAGCCAAGUUUCAUGCACUUGGAGACGUUGCAGGGGUGAACACAGAGGGUCCUAGAUAACUCUCUUUGUAAAGCCUUUUCCAAGUUAUGAUCACUAAAGGGACUCUCAGGCAUAAAGAGAGACAGAGCAUCAGGAUUCUAUCAAUACAGGAGUACAUUAAAGGGCACAUGGAAGGGUUCACAGGGUCUCAGUUUAUGUAAAACAAAGUACUCUUUCCAAUUUCCUAGUAACAAGUCAAUAUCCUUAGGGUGAAGGACAGUUUUACCUUGGGCAGAUCUGUAGCCAGAUAAGGAAGGCUUCAUUCCAUUCAUCUGUCCAUUGCUGGAUCGGCUAAUUAUAUUCUUGGAAGAAAUUGUUUCUGAGACAACGGUACACUUGGGUUUUAGGGGGAGACUGGAGCUACUAACUGUUCGCCCAGGUCCCAAGCUGCUCACUGGUCUUCCAGGGCCUGAACUACUGACCGUCCGUCCGGCUGGAACUGAGCCACUGACUGGCCGCCCAGGGCCACUGACUGGCCGUCCAGGGCCACUGACUGGCCGCCCAGGGCCACUGACUGGCCGUCCAGGGCCACUGACUGGCCGCCCAGGGCCACCAGAGCUGCCCAAAGACUUCCUAGAAUCACCUGAGCCAGGGGUGGGUCGUCCAGGUCCACUUGAGCUAUUUGCAGGAUGCCCAGGGCCACUUGUACCACUGAGUGUCCGUCCAGAGAGAUUUAAGUCACUGGCUGGCCUCUUGGUCCCACUGACUGAUCGCUCAGGUCCUGAGCUGGGGCUGCCAUUCUGGCGCCUGGGCAUGGGGCCAGAACUAACUGCAGGCCGAGCAGUCCCUGUGCUGGGCCGCCCGGGAGCUGAGCUGGAGCUGCUGCCUGGCUGCCUGACGACACCUGGACUCUUGGCUUUAUUGUGUGGGGUAACCACAGGCCCAGGCCUGGAAUGGCUAGGAUGGGGAGGAGAUUUUUUGGCUUUGUGCUCAGUAGCAGAUUUCUGAGGCCCUUUAGCAGAAGUCUUUGGGACACUUGGUGAAUAGGUGCUGGAGUGGGGCUUUCCAGCCCCAUUGAAAACAGGUCUGUCAUGGCCCUCUCGAAGUAAGGGCUGGGAGCAAUUGCCAGAUCCUGCUUUGGUCCUCUCUCCUGGCAUGGAUUUGGAUGAAGACACACUUAAGUGUUUUUCAUUGGCUGUACUGGGUCUGGAUUUCUUCUCAGCAUGAGGGAGGGGUGUACCCCUGGAGGAAGGGUGCUUGCCAAGUUUUGUGCCCACACUUUCUUUCUGAGAAGGUGCCUUUUUGGCUGGAGGUAGUCUUGCAUCUGUCUCAGCUCUCUUUUUCCUCUGUUUCCGUUCAAGGAAUUCUCGCUCCCUAAGUUCUUCUGCAGUCAUAGGCCGCUCUUCUGUUUUCUUCACUACCUUGAUCUCCACUGGUUCAUACUGCUUUUUCUCGGCCAGCCUGAGUAGAUCAGUGAAGUUCAUGAGUGGCGGGGCACUUUUAAGGGGGACCUUUGGUUUGCUUUCAACUUUGGGAGGUUCUUGCUCCUCCUCAUACUCCUGCUCUGACUCUGCUUGAUUGUACUCUAAGAAUUCAUCAUCUUCUUCCAUCCCAUACUCUUGUUCUGUUCCCUGGCUAGUGUGGCUUUCCAUCACCUGCCUCUUCUUUGACUUUUCCUCAACGGGAAUCCCGUUGUAACCAUGGAAAUUAUCCUUUGUCCUCUUGGCCAUAGCUCUUGCCUUCUUAUCAUGUUUUAGCUCAAUUCGCUUUUUCACUAGUUCUUCUUUUCUCCUUUUCUCCUCUAAAGCUAAAAUGGAGAAAACAAGAACAAAGUAUUUCAAGGUCUGGAGGUCUCAAGUAUGUUCAUCCGAAAUCAGUAGGUGGCCAAAACACAGGCAACAUUCAAGUUACAGUUUGAAGACAUCUAGGAAUCAAAGGAGGAAGUCCUUUGAACAAGUAUCAGUUGAGUCAUCUUUACAUAAUGAGUGGGUUACAUAUGGGGUUUUCAAUAUGACAAAGCAAGCGAGAGGCUGGGGUUUUAGCUUUAAAUAUAGAAAAUAAUUCAUACCAAAUAAAGAUACCAAGUUAAGGAAACAGUAGGAACCACUUCACAGUCAUUAUUAACUAUGAAUAAAUGAAUACGUAAAUGUAUUAAAUCAGUUUCCUUGUCAUUUGCAUGAGGUAAAACUACUGUUUAAGUUUGCUGGUCUUCAAAAAUUGUCCCUAUUUUUAACCUUUAAGAUAGCAUUCUUGAUAAUUAAAAAAUUUAAAAUACAAAAUAUGUAGAAGCAGAUUCAGAAUGAAGGUCAAAGAAUGGAGUUCUUAUUGGGACCAAGUGUGGCCAAUUGCAAGAUAUGGCCGCUAUCCCCAAAAGCACUAAGAAGAAAUAAAAGAUAACAUCCAUACAAAUGAUCAGCAUGAGAACACAUGUAAUAUGCUCUAAAUACAGCUGACUCAGGCACACAAAUCCCUUAGCCUAUUAAGUUACUACAAGCAUCCGCUAGUUAAGUACAAGCUAGUUGUGAAGGUAGAAGACUUUAAAAUUGACAAUAAAGCUAUAGAUAUGUACCUUUUUGCCGGAGCUCCUCUUCUUUUCGUCUGAGAAAAGCCUGAACAGCUGCAGAUUGGACACCCUUGACUUUUGGGUCUUUUUUGGGAGGCCCCACUGCCAAACUAUACCUUUUCUAAAAAUAAAAAAAGUUAAAGUUAAAAGCAAUUCAACUUUAAAAAUGUAUUUGCUAUUAGGUGUAAGGCAUUGUACCAAGCAAUAGAGAGGUUUACAUACUGACUGAAAAACGGAUUCUGAAUAAGAGAUCAUAUAACUAACAUGGAAGCUUAGCUAUAAAAUUUUGGUCUAAAUAGGAUUAUGCAUGACUGUUUUUAGGUACAGAAUUUCUUUGUAACAUCCUAAAUAAUGCACACAUGAAGAAUUCAGAGAAAUGCUAUUUUUAUGUUAUUUUCCCAAAUAGGUACUUGGACUGGGGGACUUUUAAAAAGAAAUCAUCACUUGGAAUGGACUGUUUAAAAAUUCUGAAUAAAAAAAAAAAUCGACCUUUAGAACUAAGCAUUUCAAAGUGUAACUUUUCAAACAAACAGAAAAAACUACUCAUAAAAUGUUUUCUCUCCUGAAUACCUUAUUCCAGACUAUUUUCUAGUAAGACUCACAGCUACACAGGUUAUUUUGCUUACAGUAUAAAACACUGAGAUUUUACUUUGACCAUAGGCAAAGCUGGUGGCAAACCAAAGCUAAAAAGCAUUUCAAGGAAAUCUAAGCAGCAAGAAGUGCCCAAUUCUCUGUACUUUUAACCACAGCUCUUAUGUUCAUUAAAUAUUUGUUACAUAAUUAGAAAGGUUUCCAUAUCACCCAAAAAAUACUAAUCUUAUCCUGGCGCAGAUGAUAUUAAUCUGGGUUUUGAUUUUUAUGUAACUACACUGGGAAAUGACUAAAACCAUAGUAAUGUUAAUUUGAACUACAACAGGAAAAACAUUUCCAUUGUAUAAGUAUCUAUCAUAAGAGAAGUAUGAUAAACAGAAUAACUCAGACCAGGAUGAUUCAUCUCAAGGACUAUUGCACAUUAAAUAUAUGGAUAGAAUAUGUUUUCACUCUUAUGUUGAUCCUGAGAAACUUAACAGAAGACCAUGAGGGAGGGGAAGGAAAAAAAAACAAGGUUAGGGAGGGAGGGAGCCAAAACAUAAGAGACUCCUAAAAACUGAGAACAAACUGAGGGUUGAUGGGGGGUGGGAGGGGUGGGAGGGAGGGGGGGGUGGGUGAUGGUUAUUGAGGAGGGCACCUGUUGGGAUGAGAACUGGGUGUUGUAUGGAAACCAAUUUGACAAUAAAUUUCAUAUAAAAAAAUUAAAUAAAUAAAUAAAUAAAUAAAUAAAUAAAUAAAUAAAUAAAUCUAUGGAUAGCAAAUAAGUUUUUAAAUGCUUUCCCUCUUUUGUUAGGCUGAUGACAUUCUUAUCCACUAAACCUGUUAUUGUGCUAGUUAAAAAGGAAACACUAACCCCCCUGAGCACAAAUCCAGCUACUUAAAAACCAAAAAAACAGACUCCCCAAAUGUGCAUGAAAUUCUUGGGAGGAAAGCCAAGGAUCCAUGCUUACUAUGUGGCUAGCCAAAUACAAGACAUCCGAAACAGACUGGAAGUUCCAGCUAAGUUAGUUCACCAGUGAAGCAGGCCCUAAUCCAGCAUGAAAAUCCUGCACGAUAGCAAUGCUGUGACCUGACACAUCCCUGACAGAAAUCCCAAAAGAGAGCACCCAGAUUCCUCUCCCAGUCAGCUUGGUUGAAUCACCAUAAAACCCAGUAAUAAGUCCCUAUCUUUGUAAAUUUAGUUGUAGAUGCUUUCCAUUGUGGAUUGGAGCCCAAUAUUUAAAGAAGAAAAGGAGAGGGAGGGCACACUGAGGAGAAAGAGAAUACUGCUUUACCUAACUGCCUAUAUAUAAAUUGUCCUCAUUUACAAGAACCUCAAACAUAAGCUUUAUCUACAAAAAGUUUAUAUUUUCUUAAUGGAAGAGCCACCAUGAAUAGGACUCAAGUUGCAUAAGAUAUACACAGACUCAUACGCAGAGACAUAUACUCACUUCACCCUAUCCAGUUAGUAAGAUUUGUAAGAGGAAAGAUGGAUUUUUUUUUUUUUUUUGCCAAGACUUAAGAUUUUCCUGUCCCCGCCAACAACCUAGUCCAUAUGUUCACCUGCCAAAUCAAAGCUUAUACAAAGCACCCCCCCCCCAACCCCGCCCAGCCUCAAAUGCCAAUAUACAUGUUAGUGUUACCUUGAACAGCACUGGUUCAUUAUCUACAUAUUACAGCAAAAAGCACUUCCUAAUUUGACUUCAGGAUAGACAUAUUUCUUCCUAACCUGAGACUUCAAGGGAUAGGUAAUGGGAUAUGACUAGCUGAAAAGCUACUCACGACUGCAUACAGGCACCAACGGCGUCAAUGGAGUACAGUUUACUAAGCUUCAGUCAUUUGCAUAACACCUGCAUGAUUUUUGCCCUUUUAGUAUACCAUCUGCACUAUUAUUUACUAAUUUUAAGAAAAUAUAUAGACCUAACACUAUGACUUAUUAUUAUAGCUUUACUUCAAGCAAUAAUAUCCAUGAAAUGAUUGGCUUGAGGGCUAGUUACAUUUCUGCAAAUCAUGUUAAAAUAUAACCAUUAAACACACACACACACACACAGCAUUUUGGAAAAUGCCAAAAAGGAACAUAAAAAUACAGGAAAGGCAGAACUCAAAGAAGAAACAAGGGAGUGGGGUGUUCAGGCUCUCAGAUUUACUCAGAAAAGAAGUGCAAAGAUUACUUUUAGCUUUUUCUUCUUUUCAUAUUAAAUACAAUUUUUUGUCAAAUUGGUUUCCAUACAACACCCAGUGCUCAUCCCAACAGGUGCUCUCCUCAAUGCCCAUCACCCACUUUCCCCUCUCCCCCACCCCCCAUCAACCCUCAGCUUGUUCUCAGUAUUUAAGACUCUCUUAUGGUUUGCUUCCCUCCCUCUCUGUAACUUUUUUUUCUCCCUUCCCCUCCCCCAUGGUCUUCUGUUAAGUUUCUCAGGAUCCACAUGAGUGAAAACAUAUGGUAUCUGUCUUUCUCUGCCUGACUUAUUUCACUUAGCAUAAUACUCUCCAGUCCCAUCCACGUUGCUGCAAAGGGCCAGAUUUCAUUCUUACUCAUUGCCAAGUAGUAUUCCAUUGUACAUAUAAACCACAUCAUCUUUAUCCAUUUGUCAGUUGAUGGACAUUUAGGCUCUUUCCAUAAUUUGGCUGUUGUUGAAAGUGCUGCUAUAAACAAUGGGGUACAGGUGCCCCUAUGCAUCAGCACUCCUGUAUCCCUUGGGUAAAUUCCUAGCGGGGCUAUUGCUGGGUCAUAGGGUAGGUCUAUUUUUAAUUCUUUGAGGAACCUCCACACUGUUUUCCAGAGCGGCUGCACCAGUUUGCAUUCCCACCAACAGUGCAAGAGGGUUCCCGUUUCUCCACAUCCUCUCCAGCAUCUAUAGUCCUGAUUUGUUCACUUUAGCUUUUUUCAAAGCAUCCACCUAUUUUCAACCACUCACACUGCCAAUUUUAAAUUCAGCUUUUUUGUUUUAGCACCUUUAAUACUCAAGGGUAUUUGUCAAGCUGACUUUACUUUUACCCCAACAACUCUGCAGUACUUUUUGUUCUGUCCUAUGAUGUAGAAGGGAUUCAAUAAAUCUAUUAAAAGUCUCAUUUCAUGGGUCUGCUAGGAAACAAGAAGGGCAAGGUCCUAACUUGAUGAGGCUUAAUCUUAUUCACUGACAUGAGCUGAGUCAUAAUUAACAGUUUCUUACAUCCGCUGUAGCUUGAUGCACUCAAAAGCAGAUACCAGGAAAAUAUUAAAAUAUUCUCUUAGGCAAACUUUAGGUCAAAACCUAGAAAUCUGGGGUUAGAAAAAAAAAGGGGGGGGGGGUCCCGUAUCUCCAUAGGAAAUAUUCUUCUUUCUUAACUGUUUUGAGACACAAUUCACAUACCAUAAAAUCCAUCCUUUAAAAACAAUUUUUUUUUUUAAAUUUUAGAGAGAGUGAGUGA